This 490-nucleotide ribosomal RNA is filed under the name uncultured bacterium. RNAcentral's name for it is "partial 16S ribosomal RNA". It matches the Rfam family "Bacterial small subunit ribosomal RNA", at positions 29 to 505 of the family's 1533-position model. The record is from RNAcentral.
AGUGAACGCUGGCGGUAGGCCUAACACAUGCAGGUCGAACGGCAGCACAGUAAGAGCUUGCUCUUACGGGUGGCGAGUGGCGGACGGGUGAGGAAUACAUCGGAAUCUACUUUUUCGUGGGGGAUAACGUAGGGAAACUUACGCUAAUACCGCAUACGACCUACGGGUGAAAGCAGGGGAUCUUCGGACCUUGCGCGAUUGAAUGAGCCGAUGUCGGAUUAGCUAGUUGGCGGGGUAAAGGCCCACCAAGGCGACGAUCCGUAGCUGGUCUGAGAGGAUGAUCAGCCACACUGGAACUGAGACACGGUCCAGACUCCUACGGGAGGCAGCAGUGGGGAAUAUUGGACAAUGGGCGCAAGCCUGAUCCAGCCAUACCGCGUGGGUGAAGAAGGCCUUCGGGUUGUAAAGCCCUUUUGUUGGGAAAGAAAAGCAGCAGGUUAAUACCCCGCUGUUCUGACGGUACCCAAAGAAUAAGCACCGGCUAACUUCG